This is a long non-coding RNA of Arabidopsis lyrata subsp. lyrata, 2142 nucleotides long. RefSeq lists it as uncharacterized. Lineage: Eukaryota; Viridiplantae; Streptophyta; Magnoliopsida; Brassicales; Brassicaceae. The transcript has 6 exons. The record is from RefSeq and is a predicted model, not a curated record.
UCACGCGUUAUCUCUAUCAAUCAAGCAAAUCUGGCGAGGUAAAAAGGAACAAUGGCCUUGAGAGAAGCAUGGAGAAUCUGGCGAACUUCUAGAUAACUCUGGUUCCAGUCGCUAACGGAGAUGGAGUGGUCUUGGAGAUAGAGAAGACACUCACCGUGGUUCGAGACGUGCGCAGCCUUGAGGAGAUUAGCUAUGGAAGAGUCUCCGUCGCCAAGUAGAUCAUUGAUGAAGUUAGUUUUGAUCUUCAAACGUCCACCGGCGAGCCUCCUUUGGUAGGUGCCAACUCCUAAACCGUAGAGUUUGAGUCCGGUUGAGAGAUUGAGGAAACGGUGGAGAGGCGUCGGAAGUCGGUAGAAGAAGCGGAGAACAACGAUGAGAACCGAUCCUCCAACGCACACCUGAAGGAGACAUACGCGAUUCUUCUUCCACUGAAUGGAUAUCCCAGCGACGAGCUCAUUGCGAAGGAUUCUCUCGGAGUGAACAGAUUCCACGUUACGGAUCCAGUCUUCUACGGCGGCGCAAGUCUUGGCUACGGUGACCGUGAAGACUCCACCACCGAAACGCACUUGGUAGAUUUUAUCCACCUCCAUUGUCUUGAUUGCCAUUGAGAGAGAACGAAGAUGAAGUUGGAAGAGAUGGAGAUGGAAAAUUUUUGAGUUUCGAAACUUGCUGGAUCUGAUUUUUCUUCGUUCAUGGAGAGAGGAUGGGUUUUUAUACAACAUAGCGGGAGACGGAACUGAAAGAAAAUUCCAUCCAUGAUUUGAAUUUAGAUUUAGCAUAAUGCAUCUUUUGGAAUCCGUAACAGAAUCGAUCAGUGUAGCUCAACACUACUACUGCUUCUUCAUGACUUGGACAUGACACGUGGGCGUUUUUAAUUGCUCUCUCUUCUGUGAGUUGUAUCAUGGCAAAAGGGAUGGGAAACUGCAUCCGUGCAAAAUCUUGAAGAUAGUAACAACAGAUGGGUCUAGUAAACCUCAGUCAAAGUUUUCAGGUUUUUGUAUGCUCAGAGCAAGCGGUACCACUUUGUAGUAAGAUAUGUAGUUCCGGGGGCGACUACGAUGACCAGAGCAAAGUGCAAAGGAGAAGCUUGAUAAAUGUAUCAAAGAAAAGUUGAUUGAUUACUGUGAUGUUCUUGAUAUACCCAGAAACAAAAGUAAUGUGAAAAAGAAGAACUUGCUGUAAGAGGGCUUGAAUAUCCAAGGCACCAAGGGAUAUUGUCCUUGCUGAUAGUGAAAAGAAAACCAAAUAUCGCAAGAAGUGCACACCCGAAAGCGCGACUUCUGAAGAGUCGUUAGAUGUCCCAGCCAAGGUUUGUAGUUUUUUUACUUUCCUCUACUUUAUAGUUUGUAACCAUUGAUUGACAUGAAUUGUUUCUUUUAGCUCCCGUCUGGUAAAACUAGCUCCUUUUCUAGUUUUGUAAUCAAGUUUGUUGUUAUGAACCAUGUGGUCUUAUUGAUAUGAGUAGCUUUGUCUGCGCUCCCUUGUUGAUUCUCGAACUCAGAACUUUACCUCAGAAGUUCUGCAAUUCACUCUCUGGAUCGAUUUCCGGAUUGCAUCAAAUAGUUUUAUAUGUCUUAUUGUUAGUUUUCUUGGUCCAAAUGGAGAUGUGAAAUCUCUCCUGGCACACACAUGAACUAUGAGAUACAUGUUUACAAAUCAUUCUAAGUCUCUGUUGUUGAGUUUUGUGCUUGAGCUAGAUUCUUGUACCUGGAAAACAUGGAUAGUACAGAUGGGUUCUUGUUCUUUAGCUGUUUCAAGCUUUCACACGAGUCUAUAGCCAUCGCAUCAUGAGUGUCUCCUAAUUGUGUAUCCGAAGAGAAGACAUGAGACGAUGAUGAUGAUGACAGAUUCUCCUCACCCUCAGUUUCUGAUGAAGCCUCCAGUCUCGUUGACCCUUGCUUAAGCUUCAGCAGAGUUGAAUCUACAGUGUAAAAGAUCUUGAAAUCGAGCUUGACGAGGGUUUAACACUAAAUCUGAAAUUGGAAAGAGUGUGAAUUUGUACAGUGGACGGAGAGAGGAUCGUCUUUUAUGAUCUUCGCCGGAUAUCUCUCCACACUCCGGCAGUGGUUUCAGCCUCCCAAACAUAUUUCUCUCUCCCUAGCUCUGAUCGUCUUCUUUUAACUUUUUUUUUUGUUCUUUGCU